UACGUAGGGUGCGAGCGUUGUCCGGAAUUAUUGGGCGUAAAGAGCUCGUAGGCGGUUUGUCGCGUCUGCCGUGAAAGUCCGGGGCUCAACUCCGGAUCUGCGGUGGGUACGGGCAGACUAGAGUGAUGUAGGGGAGACUGGAAUUCCUGGUGUAGCGGUGAAAUGCGCAGAUAUCAGGAGGAACACCGGUGGCGAAGGCGGGUCUCUGGGCCGAAACUGACGCUGAGGAGCGAAAGCGUGGGGAGCAAACAGG
Molecule: ribosomal RNA, 253 nt
Filed under: uncultured bacterium
Lineage: Bacteria
Description: partial 16S ribosomal RNA
Rfam family: Bacterial small subunit ribosomal RNA
Source: RNAcentral